AGGACUUCUCUCUUUCAAGGAGACAACGGGAAUUCAAGUUUCCCUGGGGGUG
Molecule: transfer RNA, 52 nt
Filed under: Schlechtendalia luzulifolia
Lineage: Eukaryota; Viridiplantae; Streptophyta; Magnoliopsida; Asterales; Asteraceae
Also listed under: 1 other name
Description: tRNA-Glu
Source: RNAcentral